UAGUGUGAAAAUUUUACAUGGCUGUGAAUUUUGGUUAAUGGAUUUGGUAGUGAAAGCAGUGACGUUGACUUAGCCUUCCACGUAGCUUACAGCAAAGGCGGUUCUGCAUCAUUAAGGAGAUUGCAGCAGCUAAUGGUGAACGAAAACAGCCUAUUCAAAAGUACAUAUCUGAUCUCUGGGGCUAAAGUGCCCCUCAUCACUUUCGAGCAUCGGGUACUGCAGGUGUUCGGCGACAUCACAACUACUCAAAACGACCAUCCUUUUGUACAGUCGAAAAUGAGUUACUUUUAUUCUCUAUUCAAUCCAUCUAUUGUGCCAGUAUUCGCAAUUAUUAAGCAAAUCUUACAGAAGUUUAAAAUAACAGCCUCCUACAAGCCCGGUUAUCUGACUACAUUUCAAAUCAGUGUCAUUUACUUCUGUUAUUUGAUGCACAAAAAAGUUAUUCCUCCGUUUAAUGAAGUAUUAUCGCUUUUUAAAAAUCGUGAUUUGGGAGACAUUUUACCAUGUCAGAUGGAGAAUUUCACAGCUGCUCGAAUAGAAACAGAGGAUUUGUUCUAUGGAUUUUUUGAAUUUAUUGCCGAGUUUGAUUUUGAGAGCAAAAAAAUUGACGCUAGCACAGGUACUGUAAGAUCAAAAUCGUUUUUGGAUGCUAAUAAAACCAGCGCAUUGAUUGUUGCGAAUCCCCUUGACGUUGACCAUAACGUAUGUCGUUCAGCUUCCAAGUCGAAUUUGGAAGAUUUUCAAAAGGUUUCGAAGAUUAUCGCAGAGAGGCCGUGUCAUAGCUUAGAUGAUUACAUGAAUCUGCCUUCGUUGAAAACGAUAAACAACCAGGAAUCAAACAAUAGAGGUGCCGCAAAGUUGAUUGAUCGAGUUAAAAACUCAUUUAAACUGAAAUUUUGAAAUACAGUAUUGAAAUACAAUUUUUCUAUUCAUUCAACGAUUCAUAAACCA
This is a long non-coding RNA of Symsagittifera roscoffensis, 951 nucleotides long. RefSeq lists it as uncharacterized. The record is from RefSeq and is a predicted model, not a curated record. The transcript has 2 exons. NCBI's taxonomy places the organism in Eukaryota, Metazoa, Xenacoelomorpha, Acoela, Convolutidae.